This 286-nucleotide ribosomal RNA is filed under the name Staphylococcus aureus. Its description in RNAcentral is "partial 23S ribosomal RNA". It matches the Rfam family "Bacterial large subunit ribosomal RNA", at positions 192 to 473 of the family's 2925-position model. Lineage: Bacteria; Bacillati; Bacillota; Bacilli; Caryophanales; Staphylococcaceae. The record is from RNAcentral.
ACUGAAACAUCUUAGUACCCGGAGGAAGAGAAAGAAAAUUCGAUUCCCUUAGUAGCGGCGAGCGAAACGGGAAGAGCCCAAACCAACAAGCUUGCUUGUUGGGGUUGUAGGACACUCUAUACGGAGUUACAAAGGACGACAUUAGACGAAUCAUCUGGAAAGAUGAAUCAAAGAAGGUAAUAAUCCUGUAGUCGAAAAUGUUGUCUCUCUUGAGUGAAUCCUGAGUACGACGGAGCACGUGAAAUUCCGUCGGAAUCUGGGAGGACCAUCUCCUAAGGCUAAAUAC